Molecule: ribosomal RNA, 846 nt
Filed under: uncultured archaeon
Lineage: Archaea
Description: bacterial SSU rRNA
Rfam family: Archaeal small subunit ribosomal RNA
Source: RNAcentral
GAUCACCGCUAUUGGAAUCCGCUUAAGACAUGCGAGUCGAGAGGGUUUAGACCCUCGGCAUACUGCUCAGUAACACACGGAUAAUCUACCCUAAGGUGGGGCAUAACCUCGGGAAACUGAGGAUAAUACCCCAUAGAUCAUGGAUGCUGGAAUGCUCCAUGGUCCAAAGUUCCGGCGCCUUAGGAUGAGUCUGCGGCCUAUCAGGUUGUAGUGGGUGUAACGGACCCACUAGCCUACGACGGGUACGGGCGUUGGGAGACGUCGCCCGGAGUUGGAUUCUGAGACACGAAUCCAGGCCCUACGGGGCGCAGCAGUCGCGAAAACUUGUCAAUGAGGGAAACCUCGAACAGGGGAGUCCAAGUGCAUGCGUUUUACGUAUGCUGUUCAGUUGUCUAAAAAACAGCCCGAAGUAAGGGCUGGGUAAGACAGGUGCCAGCCGCCGCGGUAAUACCUGCAGCCCAAGUGGUGACCAUUAUUAUUGAGCCUAAAGCGUCCGUAGCCGGUUUGGUAAAUCCUCGGGUAAAUCGAGCAGCUUAACUGUUCGAACACCGGGGAGACUGCCAGACUUGGGACCGGGAGAGGUCAGAGGUACUUCAGGGGUAGGGGCUAAAUCCUGUAAUCCUUGAAGGACCACCAGUGGCGAAGGCGUCUGACUAGAACGGAUCCGACGGUAAGGGACGAAACCCUGGGGCGCAAACCGGAUUAGAUACCCGGGUAGUCCAGGGCGUAAACGCUGCAGGCUUGGUGUUGGGGACCCUACGGGGGUGCUCAGUGCCGGAGUGAAGAUGUUAAGCCUGCCGCUUGGGGAGUACGUCCGCAAGGAUGAAACUUAAAGGAAUUGGCGGG